GGCAGGCUUAAUACAUGCAAGUCGUGGGGCAGCACAGGUAGCAAUACUGGGUGGCGACCGGCAAACGGGUGCGGAACACGUACGCAACCUUCCUUUAAGCGGGGAAUAGCCCAGGGAAACUUGGAUUAAUACCCCAUAAGACAGUGGAGUGGCAUCACUCAGCUGUUAAAGCUCCGGCACUUAAAGAUGGGCGUGCGGCUGAUUAGGUAGUUGGCGGGGUAACGGCCCACCAAGCCGACGAUCAGUAACUGGUGUGAGAGCACGACCAGUCACACGGGCACUGAGA
RNAcentral lists this ribosomal RNA (286 nucleotides) under uncultured Chitinophaga sp. RNAcentral describes it as "partial 16S ribosomal RNA". It matches the Rfam family "Bacterial small subunit ribosomal RNA", at positions 41 to 324 of the family's 1533-position model. The record is from RNAcentral. Lineage: Bacteria; Pseudomonadati; Bacteroidota; Chitinophagia; Chitinophagales; Chitinophagaceae.